CCCCAUGCCGAACUCAGAAGUGAAACGCCGUAGCGCCGAUGGUAGUGUGGGGCUUCCCCAUGUGAGAGUAGGGAACUGCCAGGC
This 84-nucleotide ribosomal RNA is filed under the name Enterobacillus tribolii. The record is from RNAcentral. Lineage: Bacteria; Pseudomonadati; Pseudomonadota; Gammaproteobacteria; Enterobacterales; Hafniaceae.